This 497-nucleotide ribosomal RNA is filed under the name uncultured bacterium. Its description in RNAcentral is "partial 16S ribosomal RNA". It matches the Rfam family "Bacterial small subunit ribosomal RNA", at positions 28 to 507 of the family's 1533-position model. The record is from RNAcentral.
GAUGAACGCUGGCGGCGUGCCUAAUACAUGCAAGUCGAGCGAACAGACGAGGAGCUUGCUCCUCUGACGUUAGCGGCGGACGGGUGAGUAACACGUGGAUAACCUACCUAUAAGACUGGGAUAACUUCGGGAAACCGGAGCUAAUACCGGAUAAUAUAUUGAACCGCAUGGUUCAAUAGUGAAAGACGGUUUUGCUGUCACUUAUAGAUGGAUCCGCGCCGCAUUAGCUAGUUGGUAAGGUAACGGCUUACCAAGGCAACGAUGCGUAGCCGACCUGAGAGGGUGAUCGGACACACUGGAACUGAGACACGGUCCAGACGCCGACGGGAGGCAGCAGUAGGGAAUCUUCCGCAAUGGGCGAAAGCCUGACGGAGCAACGCCGCGUGAGUGAUGAAGGUCUUCGGAUCGUAAAACUCUGUUAUUAGGGAAGAACAAAUGUGUAAGUAACUAUGCACGUCUUGACGGUACCUAAUCAGAAAGCCACGGCUAACUACGUG